CCUACGGGUGGCAGCAGUCGAGAAUCAUUCACAAUGGGGGAAACCCUGAUGGUGCGACGCCGCGUGGGGGAAUGAAGGUCUUCGGAUUGUAAACCUCUGUUAUGUGGGAGCAAAUUAAAAAGAUAGUACCACAAGAGGAAGAGACGGCUAACUCUGUGCCAGCAGCCGCGGUAAUACAGAGGUCUCAAGCGUUGUUCGGAAUCACUGGGCGUAAAGGGUGCGUAGGCUGUUUCGUAAGUCGUGUGUGAAAGGCGCGGGCUCAACCCGCGGACGGCACAUGAUACUGGGAGACUAGAGUAAUGGAGGGGGAACCGGAAUUCUCGGUGUAGCAGUGAAAUGCGUAGAUAUCGAGAAGAACACUCGUGGCGAAGGCAGGUUCCUGGACAGUAACUGACGCUGAGGCACGAAGGCCAGGGGAGCGAAAGGGAUUAGAUACCCCUGUAGUC
Molecule: ribosomal RNA, 446 nt
Filed under: uncultured bacterium
Lineage: Bacteria
Description: partial 16S ribosomal RNA
Rfam family: Bacterial small subunit ribosomal RNA
Source: RNAcentral